UUUUUUUUCCCCUUUUGCUGUUUCUCUUCUUUCUUGUACGCAAAUUCUCCUACCGGACAAGUGGAUAAGUGCAGGUACGCGAGAUGAGAAUGGAUAAUCCCGUGCAAAGUUUGAACAUAUCCAGAUCUGUUAAAACAGCAUCUUGAUAAACCCGGUGAAAAGAGAUCUUGAUAUGGAAUGGAGUAGUACCAAACCAAGCUUUCCCAGAGCUUUUUUUUCUUUGCCACGAACCCCAAUAGCACAUACAAAACAGUAAUAGGGAAGCCACAGUUCAUACAAAAUUUCAAUUUGCCUUUGUCCACACAAGCACACAAUCAAGUCAUAGACUUACAACAAUGGAUCUCCAAUCUCAAUCUGGAAACGGACAAAGAUACUUGGUCAUAUAUUUGGGGAUCAUCAACAUUCACAACCAAUAAGGCAUAUCAAACAAUCAUCGGACAGAGAAGCAUACAUCCAACAUUUCGUUGGCUCUGGAGAUCACGGUGCUAGAAAAAACACAAAAAUGUAUUUUGGUUAUUUCUCAAAGACCGAUUAAGCACAAGGGAUCUCUUACGAAAAAGACACAUGCAACUAGAAUCGUACACAUGUGACCUUUGCAUUCGGUAGAAAAGGGAAACAGUAAAGCACUUAUUCUUUUGUUGCAACUUCACCAAAGCAUGCUGGAAUAGCAUUGGGGUAACUUACAUUACAACAAGGACAACAAUGAACAUCAUUGGCCAAAUAAAGACAAAGUUAAGGGUACCAUUUUCUAUGGAAAUCAUUAUACUCAUGACCUGUAGCAUUUGGACAACAAGAAACGGGUUGAUCUUCAGCAACAUUGACCCACUGCCGCAGUUAUGCAGAAGGAAAUUCAACUCUGAAUUUUAGGAUCUGUUGUUAAGAGCCAGGGCAAGACACAUUCAGGGUUACACUCUGUUUAGUUAGUUUUAAGUAGACACCCUUUGUAGACUUUUUUCCUUUCUUGUAAUAAUCCGCACUCUCCUUUCUUUACUUCUUUAAUAUAACCAGCAGGGUCGGAACACUUCCUGUUCCUUAAAAAUAAUAAAAUAAGAUCGGAGAGUAUCAACACUGGAUCUACAGGUAGGCAUAUGAUGUGAGAGGAAUAUUGAAGUUCCAAAAUUAGAGAAAUCGGUCUGAACAAGUGCUAAACAGCUAAAGGCAUAGGGAUUUUAUUGGCAGGACUUUAGUAACUAGCUUUACCUAUCCCUAACAUCGAAAUAUUGUCCCUAUGCUUUUGAUCGACCCAUAUAACUAUCAUUUGGCCUCUAGCAUCGCAUAACUCGUCAAAAGUAUUAUAAGAAAAUGCUAGAGAAUAGAGAUGCUCCGUUUACUGAUGAUACACCGGUAAAAACUCGUCCGUAUAGGAGAAUCACAUAGGCUAUAUCCAAACCUAAGUAGGUGGGUGUUUGUGAUUUUUUAUUAAUUUAUUUGAGGAUAACUAUUUUUAAGCUGGAAAGUACUUCCAUUAAGACAUGAUGCUAGUCAAAUCGCUAGCGUGGUUGUCGAUAUACAAACUACGAAGUAGCUUGAACUAUAAGCCCCUCAUCUGAACUACUAUUGGGGUCUACAUUUUGUUUCUGUCUGGCCCAGUGUAGACUGGCACGUGGAACUGAGCAGGCCCAAUCCACAAAAAACACAAUUGGCUACGAAACCCACGUGUUAUCUAGCCCAGUGCGCCUGCAACGGCCCAGUAGUGUCUUGUGGCUACAAAUCAUUCCGCUUCGUGGUAAAAACCGCGUAACGAAGCGCCGCUUGCAGGGAGAGCGAACGGAGCACUUGUUUGCGAGUGCAGCGCUUCGGCUUGCUGCUGGACCACAGUAAAUGCAUGCAUCGCGUGCAUCAUAGUAGCCCGACACUAGUACCGAUCUGCAGGCCUCUUGAAUGCGGGCUCCCCCAAGUACCGUGCGCGUGGCCGGCCACGGCGCCACGCCGCCCGUGUCCGUUCCUUCUUCAUCCGAGGCCUUUUUAGUUGCCCACUUUGAACAAUCAAAAUUACUGUAGCAAUACUGUAGCGUUUCGUUUGUAUUUGUGAAUUAUUGUCCAAAUAUUGACUAAUUAGGCUCAAAAGAUUCGUCUCGCAAAGUACAACAAAACUGUGUAAUUAGUUUUUGAUUUUGUCUACAUUCAGUACUCCAUGCAUGGACCGCAAGUUUGAUGUGAUGGGGAAUCUUCUUUUUACAUAGUGCUAAAGUUGGGAUUUUGGGACUUAACAAGGCCCGAGACGCGCAUAGCCUUCUACUCCACACCCCCCAGCUGCACGUCUGCUCUGCCUGGUGCCUGCGCUUUACUAAACGGAUAGCCUGUACGGUGGCAGUGGUCGCUCCCAGCACUGCACUUGACAGGGGCCCUCUCCGCCGUUUGAGACUGGACCGAAUUGAACGCGGCGCAAGCGCAAUCCCGCUUCCGGCAAUGGCCCUACCGUCGCGGCGGCAGGUCUAGAGCUGCUGGGUUGAGCCGAAAAUGCCUUGUUUGUAGGGCAUGCAUGCGUGCUGACAUGCAGCGCGACGGGGCCGGGGCUGGGUUGACCUCGAAGGAGAAGCAGCAGAGGUGGCACAACGGAUCGAAUCAUGAAAUCGAAGCGGGGCGAGGAAUGGGGGAUUGAUGAGGGUGAUCGUGUGUCGUGUUCGUGGUGCCGUCUGGCCUGCCUCGGCCUUUAUGGCCGGCCCGCACGGCACGGCAGGGAUCUCGUAAGCUUUUAUCGAAUCGUAGCCUUGAUUGCAACCUUCAUUCAAUCCCGGUCCUCAUUACUCAGUUAACAACCGUCCUCUUCGGACCUGCGCCGUGCUGAUGCUCUAUGCUAUGCUUGCUCGGCUCCUUCAAUUCUCUGCGGCCCCUACGCAUCGAUCGCACAGUGCUUCCCGGCCGGAGUACCGCGCGCGCGCGCAGAGCACUGGAGCAGUUCGCACGCCGCGGCAGUAGAGUACAGCAGUGUACGUUACUAGCACUGUAGCACUACUACUGCUCUUCGCGUACAUGGCGUCCGUCACGGCGUCGUAACUGCUUCAAUUCCGCCUUCAGCUGCCAUGAGUCCCGAGCGAGAUCCCCCGGUCCCCGGCGGCACGGGGAGAAGGACACCGCAUCGGCAGGGUGAUCCGACAAGGAUCAUCGGAUCCCUGCGCGGCUGUGCGCGUCCGGGGGCGCACGCGAUGACACGAGCCAGUGAUCUUCUGGCCCCCAUGUCGCGUGCCGUGCUACGCGCGCGAGAGCUCCAGGGACGGCACGCGGGCGCGGAUACGGUAGGCGCUGUGCUCCAGACCAGUGGUAGUAUACUAGAAUACCAGUGGCAGAGCGCUCCACGCUGGCCGGGUCCCGCCGUAGCGUACGGUGCCCCAUAUCCUGCAUUGUGCAUUCCUGCUCUCUGAAGUCCGAACUCUCUCCGACUCUCCCACCCUCACCGGGGCCUCAACCUUAUUCCUCGUCGGGAUGACAUCACCGCCCGCCCGCCUCGGCGACCGUGUCAUGCCGCUUGACUCGGGCCAAAACAGUUGUUUUUUUCUGCGGCGGGCGCGCGCACGGGCCUUUGCGUCACGCGUUCGUCCGCGGCGGGGGCGCAGUCGCCGGUUGCGUCGCGGCGAGGGACGCAGGGCUGGACCGAUAGCGAGGGGAGGGACCACGUGCCAGUGGUGGUACCAGAGGACGCGUUGUGUGCAUUUGGGUUGAGGACACGGACUCGACUCACGGAGGGACCGUUUGGGUUUCGGCUCCGUCCACUGGUCGGAUUGCAGUACAGGAGCAUUCUUGAUGCUGAGAAUUUUUGGAAGCUGGAGAGGCUAAAAAUGGCCAGCAACCAUGUUAGUUACCGGUGUGGUUUAAUUUGCGGCUCUAACUACGUUCACAAGGCCACAACCGUUGGUAGCAUGGUAGCACUACGCGUUGCCUGUGUUUGAAUUUGCUUAUAAAGUAAGCAAACAGCAUGGAGCCAUUAAGGACUAUUACUACCACACCACACCUACAGGGUGUAGGAUAAGUCAACACCAACCAUUAAACUUUCUGUUCGAGGGUCCCCGUUGGCCGUUGCGGAUACUCCCACAUGGAGGACGGAGCCAUGACCAUGAGCCAUCGUUUUUGCAAUUGCUGAUGGGUUCAGCAGUACUCCAGUGCAGGACGCAUAGCAUAGGCUUUCCCAACAAUGUUCAUGUACUCCCGAUGCAUUUAUGGGUCUGCAGUAAACGCAACGGGUUCUCGUAUACCUUCGUACGUGUGGCCCUGCAGUUGCCAUGCAUCACCACUCCCUAAUAGCUUCCCAGCGCGGUCCAGUAUCUGCAAUCGAACACCGAGCCCUAUAUAGCGCGCUCGCCGCUGCAGCAUCCGCCGACGGCCAACCGCACAACACAAGGCGAGGCACCAGAUCCGCUCGCACAUUUAUUUUGCCGGAUCACCGAGUACCGAGUACCAGCCGUGCUACUGGUACAUGGUAACCCGCCGCGCCGAGUGUAGAAAGGGGUGCGGUUUUAACCGGAGAAACCAAUUCGGCAACGCCCCCAAACCAAACAGCUCGGCCUCGUGGCAUCCCGAGAAAGAAAAAUCAUUUGCCGGAUCGGAUCUUGGCGCGGCCUCUUGGCCGGACGCGGCCGCGCCAGCCAAGCCGAGCCCGGCCAGCCACCUCCAAAAGCCGCGCCCCGGGCCGCUCCGCUCGCGGCGGUUCCGUAUCGCGCCUCGCCGACGCCGUCGUCCCUUUUGAGGUGCGAAUGAUUGCGGGCUUCGCGUCCCCACGGCGAGACGACGACGCCCGCGGCCUCGUGCCGCUCGUGUUUUGAGCCCUGCCCCCGGGUCCGCUCCGGGUGUGGCCUCUCUCGCCUUGUUGCCUUGCUCUCUCCGUCUCUCGGGUAGCCGCCAGCCGGGCUCGUAGGGCUAGGGCGCGAGGCAAAGGCAAGCAGGAAGGGGGAAUCUUUGCCCUCCCCACGCCGAGCUGGAGCCAAGCGGUGCCGUGGGAACACGCGUUGCGUCGUCUCCGAUUGGAACAGUGGUUCUCAUCUCAUCUGCAUCGGCUCGGUGGUUGUUGGGCUGCUGGAAAAGUUCUCGGGAAAAGGUUUCCUCUUCGGGGCAUCCGCAUCACGUAGGCCUCACUUGCUUCCCUUCUCUUCUCUUCCACUGGCUGGCGCCUCUCUGCAAGCUCCUGCUCCUCUGCUACCUGCUCGUUCUUCUCCUUGGCGCUACGCUUCUUGCAUUUACUCUGCCGGGCUCUGCGAGGGCUUUCGGUUUUGGCCUCUGUGCUCAGUCGCAUGUUGUUUGGCUGCAGCAGACCUCUGUAAAGGCUACUUCCCUCUUCUUCUGGUCAAGCUUCUCGCCCUGUUCGAGUUCCUCAUCCUGUUCUCGUAGUAUUUUAAAUUGCAAGCCUUUUUCUCGUUUUUGUGGUUUUGAAAAGAGGAAAACUUUUGUUUCGACCAAGGGUUGAAACUGCGACUUUUGCCAUUUGGUCCUCUGCAUCUGCACUGUGUAGCUUUCAAGAACUCCCGAGUUCAUCUCCGCGAGUUCCCAGUUCCCACACUGUAGUUGCUCUACCUUUUCUGUAAUCCCGUUGCUCCCCGGCCAGUUUCUUUCCCGCAUUCUUUUACAAGCUUGCUUCUCUUUUUGAAGCAUCUGCUCCCCUGCUGCAGCUAGGAGGACGCACGCCAUGGGGCGCGCGAUGAGGUGGCUCAAGAAGGUGCUCACCGGCACCAAGAAGGAAGGGGAGAGGGACCGCAAGGAGCACAGUAAUGCCGCGUGCGCCAGCGGCGGCCUCGGGCUCGGGCCGCCGCCGGUGGAGAAGAGGCGGUGGAGCUUCGCGAAGCCGAGGCACAGCAUGGCAGACGGCGGACGGAGGCCCUCGGUGACCGCCGUCGCCGCCGGGGAGCUGUCGCAGGUGCGGCCGUGCAACUGCGGCCUGGAGCGCGAGGUGGAGGCCGCCGUCGUGAUCCAGAAGGCCUUCAGAGGGUACUUGGUAAGUUUGCUGUCAACCGGUUCUUCGUGUUCAUGAUUUAUUGCCAUUUUUCUUUGUUUCAAAGAAUUGUUUGAUUUGUUUCUGCUGCAAGCACUGUUCAACUGAAGAGUCCGGAUGAUUUUGGCCACUCGUUUUCAGUUCUAAGCAACGAAUCGAUGAACAAGUAUGCAUGAUUCUGUCAGAUUCUUUUGCAUUUGCAUUGGACAAGAUAUUUGACUUCACGAACUGCUGCAACUGCAAUCCAUGGCUGCUUGCUGCUGUUCCUUUCCGUUGAGUCGUUAGCUGCUGCUCACUGUUUAAUCUGCUUAGUUUAAUCACAACCUUUUCGCGAUAUUCUUGUUUAUUGCUAGAGUGCUUCGUGAACUGCACGGUGUGACGCACCUAGUCGUCAUCGCAGCUGUUCAAUGCCCAAUUCUUUUCGGUUUCCGAUGCUGCCUGCAGCGUUCCGAUGUGACAGUAAAAAUUUGAAUCUUGCAAUUCAUGUGCAGGCGAGGAAGGCGCUGCGUGCUCUCAAGUCGCUCGUGAAGCUGCAAGCUCUGGUGCGUGGCUACCUCGUGAGGAAGCAGGCCGCCACGACGCUGCGCAGGCUGCAGGCGCUCAUGAGGCUCCAGGCCAGGACGGCGUCGUCCCGGAAAUCUGUUGAACAAGUGAGGAAUUUUGAUACGCGAUAACAUUGCAAAUGUCAGCCACAUUUUACAGGAUAGACGUAAAUUUUAAAAUUUUCAUCGCCUUUUGUGCGUAGGAGCGGAUUGGUGGUGCGCGCGUGAAGCCGGUGGUGCACCGCCGCCGGCUGUCCGACGGCGGGGACAAUGGGUUCGAUCGCAGCCCGCGGAUCGUGGAGAUGGACACGUGCCAGCUCCGGUGCCGGUCGUCCCGGAUCACGAGCCGGUACGCCGCCGACCCGCCGGGCGCCUCGCCGCUGCUCUACUUCCAAAAGCCGGCUUCGCGCCUCCUGGGGCAGGAGCUCGAGCCGCCGCACCCCAAGACGACACACAACACGCCCCGCCUCGGCGCGUUCCCGGGCUUCCCCGGCUCGCCGGCGUCGAAGUCCGGGCGCGGCGCCACGUGCCGGGACGCCGGAGGCAGCCCGCGGUACAUGGCGGACACGGCCUCGUCCGUGGCGCGCACCCGGUGGCAGAGCGCGCCGAGGCAGCGGCAGGGCGAGCACGCGGCGGCGCAAGGGCAGGUGGCCGAGCCGAGGCCCAGCGUCGGGCGCAGCGGGUCCAGGAAGCAGGCGCGGCCGCAGCUGCAGGCGCUGGAAAGCUUCAGCUUCAAGAGCUCGGAAGCGAGCCGCGUGGAGGACUCGGAGCUCAGCGACGAGGUCACCAGAGACUACUACCUCGACCGGCUCUGGUGAUUCCGCCAUGGCAUCACCAGCUGGUUGAGGAGGAGGAGAUUUUAACAUUUUGGUACAUAUUAGCAUUAGGAUUAUUAGGAUCAAGAAGGCUUAGAUCAUGGCGAGAAUUGACUACUAAUCUAGAAGGAUCAUGUAGCUCGAUCGAAUAUCAUCAGAUCGAACGAAAUAAAAGAAAACUAUGGAAAAGAAAACAGUGAUGGAAAUGCCACAGCUUUGUGCAGCUGUGAACUUGUGAUUGCUUGUUCCAGUUCUGACACCGUACCCCAGCAACUUCAAUGCUGAAACCGACGCCGGCAAUCGCUAGAUGAUACGUACAAAUGGCAUGUAGUAGAUCAGAACGGAGGGGUUCUUGGCACUGACAGAUCCUUCGCAGUGAAAACGAAGGCUGUGGUUGUCCUACUCCCCAACUGGCAACUGCAUUGCGUUUAUGGAUCGCAGCUGAUCGCUUAAAUGUUGACGUGCCGUGCUCUGACGUCAAGUACCACUACUGAAGUGGUGCUUGACUGCGCUUGCAGACGCAGCUUUGAGUACAAGCCAGUCUGUUGAGCGUUGACACGGCAGAGCUUGGUUUCAGCUGCAAGGGUUUGCAAGGAACUCCAGGCUUGUUUGGAUCGAGACCUGGCAGGCAGCUUGCCGGCCAGCAGCGAUCUCAGCCCUAGACGACCAAAAUCGGACGCCUGGGAGCAUUGUCUGAGCUCCAGCCAAGCUCAAAGCAAACAAGCCUUAUGCCUCUGCACUGCACGUUUGGAAGUGGCUCAGUACCAAUAUGGAGUACGUGUACUAUACGGUUUGCUGUUAGCCGGCGUUAGCAAAGCUCCAGGAUGACACAAUCAUAUUUUGCAAUACGCGGAUGACACAAUCAUAUUCAUGGACCAUGAUUUAGAGCAAGCUAAAAAUAUGAAGCUAUUGGUCCGCAUUUUUGAACAAUUGUCAGAUUUAAAAAUUAACUUCCACAAAAGUGAGAUCUCCUGCUACGGUGAAGCGAAACAACAUGAGCAACAAUAUACUGAAUUGUUUGGUUGUGAACUAGGCGCAUAUCCUUUCAGGUAUUUAGGAAUCCUGAUGCACCACAAUAAACUACGCAAUGCAGACUAAAGUGCUAUCGAGGAAAGAUUCAAACGCAAACUAAGCACCUGGAAGGCCAAACAUUUAUCUUACGGGGGACGACUGGUUUUAUUAAACUCUGUCUUGAGCAGCCUGCCUAUGUUCAUGAUGUCCUUCUUUGAACUUCCUGAACGUUUCCUGAAAAAACUUGAUUUCUAUCUAUCAAGAUUCUUUCAGUAAGGCAAGAAUGAUAAAAGAAAGUACCGUCUAGUCAAUAGGAUAUCUUAUGUCGUCCUAGGGUCUGGGAAUACCUGACCUUUGGAUUAAAAACAAGUGUCUACUUAGCAAGUGGUUAUUUAAACCGCUAAAUGAAGAUGGUACAUGGCAGACUUUACUUAGAAAUAAGUAUCUAAGCUUGAAGUGUCUUUCUCACAUAAAAAUUAAACCUGAAGACUCGUAUUUCUAGAAAGGUCUGUUAAGGAUCAAGGAAGAUUUCCUGGGUUGUGUACUUUAUGGGUCGCAAACUAGAUUUUGGGAGGACAUUUGGUAGGCUCUAAACCACUAAAAGAGCAAUUCCUUAACCUGUACAAUAUAGUCUACUAUCCUCAUGUUAUAUCCUCGUGUUACAUGGCAAAUGUCAUGAAUCAAAUGCCAUUGCGCAUUCUUUUAUAAAAGAUUUAAUUGAGGAUAAGUUGACUGCCUAGAAUAACCUGGUAGCUAGAAUAGCCUCGUACUGACUUUUAGAUGGAAGGGACAAGUUUACCUGGGAUUUGCAUAGACAUGGUAGUUUCACCGUGCAGUCCAUGUACCAAUAUCUUAUAAAUCAGGGCAUUUCCUUCACCAACAAAUUUAUAUGGAAGCUGAAAAUACCUCUGAAGAUAAAGAUAUUCCGUGGGUGUGGCAGCUCUUACGUGGGCAAUUUGGUGUACGCGUAAUGAUUUGGUUUUUGAAAAAAAAUGGUUUACCUCUUUUAUGCAAGCUAUCCUCAGAGGAGCAUAUUGGUUGCGAUUUUGGUCAAUAUUGAGCAUAUUGGUUGCGAUUUUGAUCCCUAUUAUAGUGUGAGGAUGCAAGAGAGACUGUCCUCUUAGCAAGCAAUGCACUCGUGGUGGUCGUUUUGGAUAUAUUUGUUAAGAAUGGAUGGAGAAGUAAUAAUAGACUUUGCUUUUGUUUCCUCCUUCAGUUGUACUAUUUACCAUUUUAUCCGUGAUGAGCUUAUAAACUGAAGAUGUUGUAAACUUAGCCGUGUGCGCAAUCGCAUGGGUCGGAAACUUAUCUAUUUUAUUCAAAAAGCAAAGCUCCAAGAUUCCGGCAAUGGACAUCCGAAAGGACAGCAUCACAUUACCAACAUUUCGAACAAAGAAAAAUAUUUCUCCAUGCAAAAUGAUGCAAAAUUACCUGUGCCUGUGCUGAGGUCCGACGCGUGGUUUCGACGCGGGGGCACACGACAAAACCAGAAGACUUCCCCCAUCGCGGACGACAUCACAUGGCCCGCGGCUGUCGAUUUUGUUUGAGCCGACGGCGUGAUGCGAGGGGCGUUUGAGAUUUGUUCGCAUCUGCACGCCGCGACGCUGGUCGAUCUGGAUCCUGCAGCCCACGACAGCCCGGCGUGGCCCGAUCUGCCUGCGCCUCUGCAGGGAGAAGAUUGCUGCGCUGUGAAGCGUGUACGCAAACGCUUGACGCUGUCAGUGAGUGGCUCAGGUCAAUGCUGGAGUCAAAUACUGUGGUGACCUGACCUGUUACUAGUAAAUGCUGGUGUUGCUCUGGGUCUGUGAAUUGUGAAAGAGAUCGAGUGAAAUCUGCAGAGUUUUUUUUUUUUGUGUUUGAAAAGAAGGAACGUGUUGGGUCUUGGAACGGACGACAAUGUGGGCAGAAAGCUCGGCUUUACUUGAUGAGAAAUGCUCAGCUUUUACUGGAUUUUUUUUAGAAAACCGGGUUGCAUUUCAUUUAUUUAUAUGAAAAGUUACACACAUAUCCUUACAAAGGAAUCCCUGAUAAAAAUAAAAAAUUACAACCAAGUCCUUGCAAGGUUCUCCUGGUCAUCUUCGAUGCCGGCAACCGGAGCCACCACCCAACGCGCCGCCCCUGGAAGAGAGGUCCGCCGAGCUUGAAACUUAAAGCCGGUUCCAACCUCGACGUAGAAGCUUCCAAAGAAGCCACAUAAAAUUUUAACGCUACAUCAAUUGGCGCACCGAACACUCCGAAGCGCACUUGGAUCGUUGAAGGCCAAGCAAACCAAAAUGGCCAUCGGCCAUAUCAUCGCCGAGAGAAUCAGGAUCUGCCGCCGCAAGCACUGCCGGCGACCCUGAAGCAAACGACGUCGAAACAACCCCAAAAAGGAGACUCCAACCCGAUUUCUCAAGGUGGGAGUAGGCAUACCUCACGGAUUCAUCUUCGCAAGACGCGUCGCCACCGCCGCAGUCGCCGGAGAUGAUCUAGAGGGACAAAAUCACCGGUAGCCGGAAGUCAAAGCCACCGGGAUAAACUAACCUCUGCCUCGCCGUCGACGAAGCGAGGAAACCUAACCCUAACCUAACUAGAUAAGAAGAGGGUAUGUACACCGGCCAUCGAUCCCGCGGCUCCUCUCCACCUCCGGCACUAGGUCGGUCGCCGUACAUGAUGAGGAGCCGGCGAGAUCGACGCCGGGAUCGGAAUCGCCCUUGCGCCGCCCUUGUGUACGGUAGAAAGGGGGAGGAAAGGUCGAGAGAGUGCGAGCAGUAGUGCGGAAAGGGUUUUACUGGAUCUUUUGGUUGCAGACCUGCAGCAACUGCAGUGAUUGCUCCAAUGAUGGACUGGGCUGCAAAUGCAUUCAUAAUACACGGCUAAAGCUUUCGGGCCUGGUCGGUGAAGAAGGCUGGCAUAGGCCCAUGCAGGUAUGUGACUCGAAAAACUUCCGUGGGCCAAUACUUUUAUUGGGCCUUAGCCCACAAAGGCCCGCUCGUGUAGCAGCAAGCAUGGGGGCAAAUGGAGAGAACCGAGACGGCGAGACCGAAAAGGAGAUUGCAGGGGACAUCAAAAGCUCGUGCAAUGGCAGCAAUGUGGAAUUAGUAUUUGCGUUCUGUUCUUUUCUCUUCACAACAAUCAAAGUCAUGGCGUGUCAAUGAGUUCCUCCCGUGCUACAACUUGAGCCACUCGAGCCCGUCGAUGAAGUCGAGCGAGAUGAAGGGCUUGGCCUCCUCGUCGGUGAGCUCCCGCGACCACUGCACCCGGCCGGCGUAGUUGGCGCCCGGCCCCGUGCACUUGUACUGCCCGUAGAACACCGUCCUGAAACAUUCGAGCGAGCAAAGCCAACCGGCGUCAGCAUCCGGCACGACACGCGAGCAAGAAGGAGAAGGGCCGAUGAAGAAGAAAGAAGGCACCGACAUCUCCCGGGUUGGGUCGCCCCAGUUGUACCAUCCGCGCGGGAUGAUGAUGUUGUCCAUGUAGGUGUAGGCGAAGACGACCCGGGAGAAGGUGCCCCAGGCGCGGCCCAGGUAGAGCGCCCCGGACCCCGUCACCCGGCAGUUCACGAACGAGAACCCCGUGUCCUCCAGCAGGCUCUGCCUGUUCUGCGCCGUCAGCGCCCCGUAGUUCCGCGCGAUCGCGUGCACAUGGCACCCCUGCAGAUGCAUUGCAUUUUCCAUUUGUGACACUUCAUGUUACGGCAGCAGCCAUGGGGACGCAAGAAAGCAAGCAUAAAAAAGGCAAGCAAAGCCGGCAGGCGUCCACGAGGCGUACGUCCAGCCGCCGCGUCACGGGCGGCCGGGGGCUCGAUCGGCCGGCACCCUGUGGCCAAGCCGCCAGAGAACCUGCAGGCCUCAGGAAAACCGCACACCGCAACCGUGCCGGCGCCAGCGACAAGGGAGCCACAUGAAGGGUUCGCCUCACCUCCACUGUGCCCCAUUAAAAACUGAAAGGCAGGGGGGAUUACUUAAUGGGCAUCCACAUUCCAUUUGCACCUGCUUUUCAGCGACCUCCUUGGCAGUAAACGUGGCCGGAUACAUGCUACUGUUGCCUAGUACAUGUUAUAAUGAUGUGCUCGUACUAUAGCAUCCUCUUGUCCGUGGCUGGACGCUGGUGUUGAAGAAUGUACUAGCCAUGCAGGGCCAGCCAGUCACAGGAUCAGGCCAAACGAGGACAGAGCACGAGAGGAUGUGAUGCGGUGAGCAGCACAUCGGUGGCGCCGGGUGCACGGACAUGGCGCCACGGAGCUAGUGGGAGGAUGGCAUUUUGUCCCCACAGAUUCUUUCUGGGACAGCAUCACAGAUUCACAGUCCCAUGCCUAGGAAGGAGGAACUUUCCCCCGGGUUUAACAGUUUCUGUGUCCCGUAACCGGAACCUGAAGUGCCAUAGCCCGAUACGGCGAUACUGCAAUGACGGCCUCUGUGACUGCUAGGACACUGCCACGUAGGACACGAGAUGCUCUGUGCGGAAGCUGUGGCUACUGACAUGCUCUGUGCGGAAGCUGUGGCCUUUGGUUAAGCUGGAGCUCUGUUUGUCCGCGUAAGGCAAUGGAAGGAACGUGCAGAGUUUUACAGCAGGGGACGUAGUGCGUAGGCUGCUGCUUACCUCGUAGAGGGAGAGCGCGUUGCCGAAGAUGAAGUCGAUGGAGCCCUCGAUGUAGCAGUCCCUGUAGUAGUGCCGGCCCAGGUGGUCGUACAGCGUGUCCUGCGCGCCCAGGAAGUUGCACCCCACGAACGCCGCGUUGUCCGCCGAUAUCCGCAGCGCGACGCCCUGCUUGCCCAGCGCGCCGGGCUUCGGCAUGGGGGCCGUGUUCUGGGCAGCGGAAAUGGAUGUCAGGUUCGUCGUACCGUAGCGACAGAGAACAAAGAUUGCAUCCAAUUCGUUCCCACGGGAGGAAGAAGGGAAGGGACCUUGAAGGUGAUGUUCUUGGCGACGAAGAACAUCGAGUUCACGGCGAACGUGGCGGAGCCGAACGUGCCCAUGGCCCUGCCCCAGGACCCGACCGUGUCCGCCGUGUCGCCCCACUGCACCACCGUCUUGUCGGCGCCGGCGCCCUCCACGGUGACGAACGCACGCAUCGGCGAUAUGUUCACCUUCUCCCUGCAGCACGCAAGUACAGGUCUCGCUCUUACGCUCUUGCCACGCUAAGCGCUGGCCAUUAUAAACCCAAGAAAGAAACAAUCUCCAAAACACAGGGCGGCCGGGCAAGAGGCGCGCAAUGUACGUACGUGUACGUGCCGGCGUUGACCUUGAUGACGACGCGGGCGAGGUUGAUGAGCGGGAGCGAGUCGACGGCGGCCUGGAUGGACGUGAAGUCGCCGGCGCCGGGGGUCUUGUCGACGACGAGCGUUCGGGCGGGCAGGAUUGCGCGGUUGAGCGCCCGGUUGUAGCUGCUGUGGCCCGGCGCGCCCAUGAAGCGCACCCACCGCGUGAACUGCCGCUCGAUCGCCUCCACCCGCGUCGCGUUCACCGGGUACGGCUUCGCGGCCGCCCCCGCCGCCGCCGCCGCGCCGCCCUUCCCCGGCCGCAGGCGCCGGGUGUGCGUGUGCCGCUUCGGCCCGUGCCUGCCCCCGGCCGCCACCCCGCCGCACGACGCGGCGAGAAGCGCCGCGGCGACGCAGCAGCAGAGGAGCACGAGCCGCGCCGUCGCCAUCGUCGUCUGACCGCAAUGCCAGCCGCGCGCGGUUGCAGUGGCCGUGGCCGGUGGCUGUGGGCACGGUCGCGCUGCCCACAAUAACUAGCAACCGGCCAGGGGGAGGGGGGCUAUAAAUUCCGGAGGAGAUAGCGUUAUGGGGAUCACGGGCGUGGCGAUGGAGGGACGGACGGAAUGACUUGGCUCACGAGCCGCGGCGGGAGAGAGAGCGAGAGGCCGCCUGUUAUGUUGGUUGGUUGCGGAGGCGCGUGCGCGCGCAUCCAGCCGGCGGCGCGGCACAUCAGCACAUGCAUGCGCUCGCGUCCUCUGCCGCGAGGCGCCCGUGUCUUUACUAGCGAAGAUGGCAUGCUUGCUAGCUGAAAGAAAGGCCCGCACGGCACAAGUUGUUGCGCCGUGCUGCCUCGGCAGGAUUUCUCGUGCGGGGAAUUGCCUCGGAGGCUGUGACGAGUAAACUUUCUCCUGGGGGGUUUGGUGGUGUGUACGGACUCGAGUGUGAUGUGUUUUACCCCGUGAUGCAAUUUGUUUGGAGUACUGUACUAGCAGUGUACUACUGUUCUUUCUGUACCUGCUGAGUCCAAUCUUUCUUUUGCGAAAGGCUGCAUUAUCACGGCAGUUCACUCAGCGACUCAAAAGAUCACGGGUCAAAACUCAAACCACAUGAAGCCAGAAGCCCAGAGUAAACCACGAGAUCGCUGCCGGCGUCUCUCCGAGACGAGUUGGAUCGCUUACAGGUAAGUCCUUGGACAAAAGAUAGGUAUCUGAUGUAGCCACACAUUUCAACCACGCUUACCAUUGAUCGGAUAAAUCGACGCAUUGCUGUUAGCAUGAAGCGCCAGCAUCAGCAGAGCUGCUUAUGCAGUGUCACGAGUUUACUCCUGUUUACUUACCCAUCAUAUUCGCAACACCUUUGGACAUGUCCAGCGAAGCGAACCAUGAAGGUUAGGUAGGUGGGUACAAUACAGACGCGGGGAAGUGCCUUCCUUUCAUUCCUCCCAUCUGAUGGAUUCCUCUCCAGUCAGUGUUCCUAUGGACUUAACUUUCUGGUCGUUUCUUCGUGCGUGCUUGCUGCCCACCCGUGACCGCGAGCUCGCUCUGCGCGAUCGCUAGCGGCUCCAUAGAUUCUGCCUCAAAAGGAAGAGGAUAAUGCGCAGAAUCGCUAGGUGCCAGACGCAUUGGCUGCUGCUCGCGAGCUAGGCACCCGCGUUCUCACCUUGAACCGUCUGGCACUGCCAUGGCCAUGGCCAAUGCACUGUGUACAAGUGCAUUUUUUCUGCAGAGUGAGAUUUGUACACAUGGUAGACACACCUUGUUGGAUCAAACCAGGCCGACAAUCAUUCUAACCACACGGAUAGGCAAAAAUUGAGCUGGUCCAUGGAACCAAAGGAUUUUUGUUUGCAUCGCUGGAUGAUGAUCGGUCCAACCCAUAAAAAAUAAAGGCGGACUAUUGGUCCAAGAGACCAACAUAAAGCUGGGAGCAUGGGAGUAAGAUUCCACAACACUCACUAUUCAUCAACUUUCUAAAACAGCUACUCCUACAAACUCAGAAUUGUGGCGCACGGCUGGUAAAUCAGGUCACCAGAGCUAGAUGUCCAUGGGCGCAGCAUCUGAACCCCUGCCCUCCUCCUGCAUGGAGCUUGGCUCCGUGGGCGCUGCCUCGGCCGCCUCCAUCGAGUCAAUUGUUUCUUGGAUCUUCUUUGCGUCAAUCAGCUCGAAUGGCUCAAUUGUGUCAUCAGCCUUUUGGCCGAUGAUGGCAACAGUGCAGUUGGAGCUGGUCAGCUUCUCACCUUGAAGCGUUUCCUUUAUGGCAGAGAGGGCAUCCUUGAUCAGUUGCUCCGGGGUGUAGUCCUUGUAGCCCUUGAAUCUGCGCUCAAGGAAAGUCUUGGCGACCUGAGAGCGAGAACCAAUAGCAAAUGCCUGGUACUCAAAGUAAUUCCCACUGGGGCAGUUAUAAUAGAGAUGAGCUCCAGUCUCGUCCAGUCCGGCGACAAGGAACCCAACACCAUAAGGCCUCUUCCAUGAGCGCUGUGUGCAAACCUGCAACAGCAUUAAAGAAAUAACAAGUAAACACAUAAGCCAACUGAUGCGGAAAACAAAAUUACAGGAGUAUUAUCUAGGUGCACAUUGAAGGUGAUUAGGGAUUCAUCUCGAUAUUUGCAUUCAAUUAGGAAAAAAAAGAAUCACACCAACAAACGUGUUCAGACGGACAAGUGCCUCAAAAAAUAGGCAUGCAUGGUAACAGAAAUUUGUUUAUUCAUAUAUACAGUAUGAUCACAGUCAAGUUUGAGGAUACUAUCUUGAUGAAUUAACUAAAAAAUUCUAUAACCCCAACCAAGCACACGUAAUAGACGUAAUACUGGUCACAGCUUGACCCUCCAGUAUUCAAACAGUUAUCAUAAGGACCACUUUCCCCAACUCCACAUCAAUACAAAGCUCAUGUACAGCAGCAUAUGUGUAAAUAAAAAUACUUAAGGAGAAAAUAAAAUCGUGAACUUGGAGCCAGACUUGCUUGAAGCAAUGAAGUUGCUAAUCGGUGAUCCAGAUACCAAGUCAUAGUCAGGUAAUAGAUUAGACUCACAGCAAGGUUUGCAAAUAAUAUAAGGCAGAUAGUGAUUUAUUCAACACAGUGUGGCUAGGCUGUAAUAUACUAAUAUACAACUAUCAUCUUAACAGCACAACUACUAGGCAUAAAUAUCGGGCAUGUUGCAUAUGACGUAAACUAUUAGUAUACAUUACUAAACACAACAGUUUGAAUGUGAAACUUGAAUCUUGUUAUGCUUGUUUCGCCAAUAGUUUAUCUGUCAAAGUCUAAGGUGACACAUAGGCAAACAUAUACAUCCAAGUCUCCAAGAACAUCAUAUCAAGAGCAGAACUAACAUACAUGAUGUAAACGCCACUAUUCAUUGGCAGUGAAACAAGAUUCAGAAACUGUAAAUGAAAUUAUGACAAGAAAUUGAGUUGACUACAAGUACAAUAAUAUGCUACUAAACAAGAAAAUGCAAGCAAGAUGUUCAUAUCAUAACAUCAAUUUUAGCGUGUUUACUACUUGCUGUUAUGAACUAACAAGAGAGACAUCUUGGCUUCUCAAGACCAUGCUGGGUAGGACAAGACUGACCAUAAUUCUCACUUAAUGAAACAUCUUGUUUGCAGCCUUUCUACCUUCUUUUGCAAUUAUUUUUUAAUUAUCACUAUCUCAAUGUAUUCCUCCAAUCAUAUCCUAACAUAAAUGUCACAGCUUCUCCUCACUGUAAGUGAGUGUUCCCUUUCACAACUGAGCAGUACCUCCAACAGCUAAUUCAACAUUUUCACAUCCGCAACUCCAUAACACUAUGCCUACUAAAUGUCCGUAACCUGAACAAAAAUAAGAGCAGGCAACAUUCUGCUUUUGGAGUAAACUAUGCAGUGUGCACAGUAAGGAACUCAGGUAACUUUGACAAUGCUAAAAUCUAUUAAAUUAUUAUGCAAAAAGGAAGAUGGAAUCCAUCAUCCUAAUACGCAAUGCACACAUUAAAUCCAAAUACAAUGUACCAUGAACCAAACGAUGGAAAGGCUAAUAUCAGCUAUAGGCGAUGGUGGAUUGGUGAUUCCGGCGUUCUAACGGAUCAAAACUCUAAAACCAAACUAAAAUUCUAUCCGAGAUUACGCACGAAAUUACAGCUCCCGCGGCAGAUCUGAUCCCUCUAUCUCAAAACCCUAAAACACAAGGCA
RNAcentral lists this long non-coding RNA (17619 nucleotides) under Setaria viridis. RNAcentral's name for it is "long non-coding RNA (SVIR_LNC002709)". Lineage: Eukaryota; Viridiplantae; Streptophyta; Magnoliopsida; Poales; Poaceae. The record is from RNAcentral.